CCCUUAGAUGUUCUGGGCUGCACGCGCGCUACACUGAAGCGUUCAACGAGUAUUUCACCUUGCCCGGGAGGGUUGGGUAAUCUUUUUAAAACGCUUCGUGAUGGGGAUAGAUUAUUGCAAUUAUUAAUCUUCAACGAGGAAUUCCUAGUAAGCGCGAGUCAUCAGCUCGUGCUGAUUACGUCCCUGCCCUUUGUACACACCGCCCGUCGCUCCUACCGAUUGGGUGUGCUGGUGAAAUGUUCGGAUCGGCCGUUUGUCGCGGUUUCCGCGUCAUGUGGCUGAGAAGUUCAUUAAACCCUCCCACCUAGAGGAAGGAGAAGUCGUAACA
RNAcentral lists this ribosomal RNA (328 nucleotides) under uncultured eukaryote. RNAcentral's name for it is "partial 18S ribosomal RNA". It matches the Rfam family "Eukaryotic small subunit ribosomal RNA", at positions 1470 to 1796 of the family's 1831-position model. The record is from RNAcentral.